CUCUUCCCCAUUCUCGGCCUCCCCUCUCUCUCUCUAUACUCUCUUUUACUCCAUUGAUGUCCAUUGAAGAAAGCUUAGAGAAGCUUCAUCAAACACUACUAUGAGAUAAUCCACCAUCCAAUCCAAUCAAAUACUAUCAUAUCUCAUCAAAUUCAAGAAGCUAGAGCUAAGAUCAAAGUUGGAGCAAAGUCUUGAUCACCUUUUAAAUCCUUGAACACGAGAAGAGCAAGGAAGUAAGUAACUCCACUUUGACGGGAGAUUUUGAGUAAGGUCUUCAGGAUAAGCGGAGGGGGAGUAUGGUGCGGUGCUGGUGGAGAAUGUUUCGGGUUGACGUUUUCUUUCUCUAUUGUAUGUCUGUUUUGUCGAUAGAGUUUUGAUAUGAAGUUAUGUUAAAUAGAGUUUGAUGUUUAAGAUACUUAGUUUCCU
Molecule: long non-coding RNA, 426 nt
Organism: Salvia miltiorrhiza (redroot sage)
Lineage: Eukaryota; Viridiplantae; Streptophyta; Magnoliopsida; Lamiales; Lamiaceae
Exons: 3
Source: RefSeq, a predicted model, not a curated record